Molecule: ribosomal RNA, 460 nt
Filed under: uncultured bacterium
Lineage: Bacteria
Description: partial 16S ribosomal RNA
Rfam family: Bacterial small subunit ribosomal RNA
Source: RNAcentral
CCUACGGGUGGCAGCAGUGAGGAAUAUUGGUCAAUGGACGAGAGUCUGAACCAGCCAAGUAGCGUGAAGGAUGACUGCCCUAUGGGUUGUAAACUUCUUUUAUAUGGGAAUAAAAUGUUCCACGUGUGGGAUUUUGUAUGUACCAUAUGAAUAAGGAUCGGCUAACUCCGUGCCAGCAGCCGCGGUAAUACGGAGGAUCCGAGCGUUAUCCGGAUUUAUUGGGUUUAAAGGGAGCGUAGGUGGAUUGUUAAGUCAGUUGUGAAAGUUUGCGGCUCAACCGUAAAAUUGCAGUUGAAACUGGCAGUCUUGAGUACAGUAGAGGUGGGCGGAAGUCGUGGUGUAGCGGUGAAAUGCUUAGAUAUCACGAAGAACUCCGAUUGCGAAGGCAGUUCACUGGACUGCAACUGACACUGAGGCUCGAAAGUGUGGGUAUCAAACAGGACUAGAUACCCGGGUAGUC